Long non-coding RNA from Physeter macrocephalus (sperm whale), 599 nucleotides. RefSeq lists it as uncharacterized. NCBI's taxonomy places the organism in Eukaryota, Metazoa, Chordata, Mammalia, Artiodactyla, Physeteridae. The record is from RefSeq and is a predicted model, not a curated record. The transcript has 3 exons.
UCUGGAGGCCGCUAUUUCGGGCUCAGCUCCUAGCGCGAGGACUAUUUUUAGCGGCGCUCGGGUAAAAAUGGACGCGGCGCAGCGCGAGUUCCAGAGGCCGUGCGCGCUCCCUCGCGAGAACUGGGGGCCCGGGCCGCGCGCACUGAGUCACCUCCAGCCCAACCGCCCCCUUUCGAGGAGCGCGGACACUCCCCCGCCCAUCUGCACGAACUCUUGGGUUCCUGGACGCCUGGAAGCCAGCGCGGCUCAGAAUAUUCCAGGACUAUCGGGACGCAUCCACCCGGGCUCAAGCGGCUGAGGGCCGACUUUUGGGCAGAGGCGCCGCGCCCCCUGGUGGCUCCUGCGGGGAUAGCAGGCAGGGGCCGGGCCAAGAGUUCACAGACCCCCCAGAUCCCCAACCUCCGCCACACACCCAUUUUAUAAAUGAGGAAACUGAGGCCUGGAGAGGAACUGGAUUGCAUCAUGAAUUGCAAGGUUGCAUUGAACACUCAGGAGAGAGUGAGAGUGAAAAAGGGAGGGCCUAGAGACAGUGUCCUAGGAACUGAACACCUCUGGGGCCAUGGGACCUGGUUCAAGAGACAGCUCUGACUACAAGCAAG